AACACAAGCAUAGUUUAUAUAUUUAUAAGAGUAACACAAAACAUGAAAAAUAGAUCCCAACAAUGGCUAUACGAGUGAACCAAUAUCCAGAAUGUUACAUAAAUAUGUCAAAUAAGUAAACUGUCAGCACACCAACCUAUACUUAGUGUCAAAGCUACAUAUAAAGGUAUGAUUUAAUAUAAUACAAACUUUAAUCAUUGCAAUCAAUUAUCUAUAAUGUUUUAAUCUAUGUCAAAACAUAUAACUGGAAUCUGUGUAAAUAUGUAAUCCCAAAUCCAUCAAAAUAAGGUUCCCUCUUGUCAUAGUAAAAUUGGUUUAGAAACUUACAUAGUCAUAUAACUAGGAGGUACUACCGCCUCCUUCAACAGCAACAAUAAUAACCUGAUUUGCAGCACCUAUUCGCAAAGCUACUUCAUCGUAAACUGAAACCUCCUCAUAACCAUCAAUUGAAACAGCUUCUGAUAGUCAUGUUUAGAUCGUAUGUCACUAACUUCUUCACUCCUUUCAUAGCUGAUAUUGUUGAUAAUGCCCAACAAUUCCCACAGCUUCCUUGAUCUUUGACUCCAACAACAACGUCUUCUUUUUUUUAAUCAACCAAUUCUGGAAAUUUCACCAACACAUGUAGCAUACCUAUUUGGUUUGUGCGUUCACUUUACGAUUUCUCCGGUUCAUAUUGAUCAUGAUUCCCAAAAGCCUGAUUCUAUACUCUUCAUAGGAGAUCGGCGAGCCGGUUCAACCCCAAUCCAAAAAUCCCAAGGUUAUCGUUGGUUCUAGGCAUUGAUUAGAAUGUUUAUGGAAGAGGUGGAGGAAAGGAAAUAGGUCACAGAGAUUUUGAGGUUGAAGACGAUAGGUGAUGGUGGUGGUAUGGUUAUGGAUUUGUUGUGGUCGGAUCUGUGGUAGACCGGAAAAACACCAACUGUGAGACGAAAUUUAUUGUGUUGGUUAGCGAUGUGGUUUAAGUUGAGCUGGACGGAGGAUACAACGAAAGGAGGUGAGGUUGUCGCGAUUGGAGGGAAAUCGCGACGGUGAGGAGGUAUGUUGAGAGGUAGAUCGAAGAAGGCGGAGGUGAGGACAGUCAGAUGUUUUUUUCGUGUGUUUGGAGAUAGACAGCGAAAAAGUGAGUUCACGGUUAUUAUCAGCGAAGCGAGUCGAAGAAUGCUUUAAUCCAAAGUGAUUGGCAUUUGGAGAAAAGUUGAAGGUCGGAGGUUGUCGUAGUUGUUUCGCGGUUGGUGGUGGACGGUGAUGACGGAAGUGUGAGGGUUGUGUCAGACAGAGGGAGUUCGUCGGAGGUGUUGUGAGGAAGAAGAAGAUGUGGGGUUUGUGGUUGCAAAUCCAAGAUGGAGGCGGAGGUGGAAAUGUUUAAAGGAAGAAGAAAGUUAUGGUAAGGUGAGAGGAAAUUGCUUGACACGGUGAGGUGAUUGUGGGGUGUUAUUGGUAUUCAAAAAAAAUAGAGGGUGAGUGAAUAUGUUCUUCUUUACUGCUAGAGAGAUGUUUUUUUAAGAAGAAGAAGAGAUUCCCCUCUUUUUCAAUGAUCU
This 1535-nucleotide long non-coding RNA is filed under the name Lathyrus oleraceus (garden pea). RNAcentral describes it as "Pisum sativum (pea) long non-coding RNA (PSAT_LNC036703)". The record is from RNAcentral. Lineage: Eukaryota; Viridiplantae; Streptophyta; Magnoliopsida; Fabales; Fabaceae.